This 531-nucleotide ribosomal RNA is filed under the name uncultured bacterium. RNAcentral describes it as "bacterial SSU rRNA". It matches the Rfam family "Bacterial small subunit ribosomal RNA", at positions 28 to 595 of the family's 1533-position model. The record is from RNAcentral.
AACGAACGCUGGCGGCAGGCCUAACACAUGCAAGUCGAACGUGAAGCCACCUUCGGGAGGUGGAAAGUGGCAGACGGGUGAGUAACGCGUGGGAACGUGCCUUUCGGUUCGGGAUAACCCAGGGAAACUUGGGCUAAUACCGGAUACGCCCUCCGGGGGAAAGAUUCAUCGCCGAAAGAUCGGCCCGCGUCGGAUUAGCUAGUUGGUGGGGUAAUGGCCUACCAAGGCGACGAUCCGUAGCUGGUCUGAGAGGAUGAUCAGCCACACUGGGACUGAGACACGGCCCAGACUCCUACGGGAGGCAGCAGUGGGGAAUAUUGGACAAUGGGCGCAAGCCUGAUCCAGCCAUGCCGCAUGGGUGAAGAAGGCCCUAGGGUUGUAAACCCCUUUCAGCGGGGAAGAUAAUGACGGUACCCGCAGAAGAAGCCCCGGCUAACUCCGUGCCAGCAGCCGCGGUAAUACGGAGGGGGCUAGCGUUGUUCGGAAUUACUGGGCGUAAAGCGCGCGUGGGCGGACCUGCAAGUCGGGGGU